This 449-nucleotide ribosomal RNA is filed under the name uncultured bacterium. RNAcentral describes it as "partial 16S ribosomal RNA". It matches the Rfam family "Bacterial small subunit ribosomal RNA", at positions 29 to 523 of the family's 1533-position model. The record is from RNAcentral.
AACGAACGCUGGCGGCAUGCCUAAUACAUGCAAGUCGAACGAUCUCUUCGGAGAUAGUGGCGCACGGGUGCGUAACGCGUGGGAAUCUGCCCUUGGGUUCGGAAUAACGUCGGGAAACUGACGCUAAUACCGGAUGAUGACGUAAGUCCAAAGAUUUAUCGCCCAGGGAUGAGCCCGCGUAGGAUUAGCUAGUUGGUGAGGUAAAGGCUCACCAAGGCGACGAUCCUUAGCUGGCCUGAGAGGAUGAUCAGCCACACUGGGACUGAGACACGGCCCAGACUCCUACGGGAGGCAGCAGUAGGGAAUAUUGGACAAUGGGCGAAAGCCUGAUCCAGCAAUGCCGCGUGAGUGAUGAAGGCCUUAGGGUUGUAAAGCUCUUUUACCCGGGAUGAUAAUGACAGUACCGGGAGAAUAAGCUCCGGCUAACUUCGUGCCAGCCGCCGCAGUAA